This 218-nucleotide long non-coding RNA is filed under the name Capsella rubella. RNAcentral describes it as "long non-coding RNA (CRUB_LNC000846)". Lineage: Eukaryota; Viridiplantae; Streptophyta; Magnoliopsida; Brassicales; Brassicaceae. The record is from RNAcentral.
UAGGUGCUCAUUGGUGUUUAGAUUAUUGUAGGAUUUGUUAGGAUGUUAGAAUGGAAUUUAGAAGCAUGUUAGGAUGAUUUUGUUUCUGGAAUAAUGAUAGUUGAACUUCUUGGAUUAAUGGAAUUGGUUGAUUGGAUUUUUAUUUAAGUCUUCCGCUGGUUACGUUGAAUUGGUUGUGUUAGUGAGAUUGUCUGGUUUGCUUUAAAUGGGUUAAUCCG